Molecule: long non-coding RNA, 480 nt
Filed under: Lactuca sativa (garden lettuce)
Lineage: Eukaryota; Viridiplantae; Streptophyta; Magnoliopsida; Asterales; Asteraceae
Description: long non-coding RNA (LSAT_LNC007915)
Source: RNAcentral
UCUCUCAACCUAGUUCAGGCUCGCGUCCACCAGAAUAUCCUCUAAUGGUACCACUGCCGACUCGUCGGCCAUACACUUUCUCAGCUGCGACACGUGGAAGGUGUCAUGUAUCUGACCCAACUCUGCAUGUAGCUCCAAACGGUAGGCUAUCCUGCCUACUCUUGCAAUCACCCUGAAAGGUCCAAUAUAUCGGGUCCCCAGCUUGCCUCUCUUCCUGAAUCGGAUCUCUCCUUUCCAAGGAGAGACAUUCAGGAGCACGAAAUCGCCAACCUGAAAUUCGAGCUCAGACCAGCGCCUGUCCGCAUAACUCUUCUGGCGACUCUGAGCUGUAGCUCCAAACGGUAGGCUAUCCUGCCUACUCUUGCAAUCACCCUGAAAGGUCCAAUAUAUCGGGUCCCCAGCUUGCCUCUCUUCCUGAAUCGGAUCUCUCCUUUCCAAGGAGAGACAUUCAGGAGCACGAAAUCGCCAACCUGAAAUUCG